GAUAAUCAUGUCAUAUAACACCUGAGACUGUGGUCGAAGAAAUUGGAAACUUUUUAAUAGAAGGAUCAGACACAAAAAGGGACGUCUCAAACUCAGCUAACUGGUUUAUUUCUCGACCAUCCUACAUCAUGACUGACUUGCCCACUGGCGCCACCCUGGCCUUGCUGUUUUCAACGGUUCUCAGGUUGCCGGAGCGGCGUGUUUGAACUGUUUGAACCACAGGUUAAACCACAGGCACCACAGGUUUGAACUGUUUCAACGGGAGUCAUGGCAAAACGAACGGAGUAGCACUGCGUGGCCUCGCAAUCCCAGCGACCCGACGAGCUCGCAAAGCGUGCUCGGAAGACGACCCUCCCAAAGCCGACGACGCGCACUCACCUCUGUGGACAGCGAAGAAACAUCGUCGCACUGUGACAACGGCGACUAGUGCACGGCAUUUAUUUUUUGUUGGCGUUCGUUUCAUAAAACCCGUCUAUAAGGAGCUUGUGACCACCCUGAAAGGCUUGACGAGCUACGUGCUCGUAUUCAUGUUGGUGCCACGAGGUGGGCCUUUCGGGCAUGCCAGGGAGGAUGAGAGGCUGUCCCUGAACCGCCUACUAGUACAAAAAGGUGUUGCCCUCGGCGUUACCAUCGUGAAUGUCGACUGACGCGAGUUCCUCUUCCACUGCUCUCACAAGUGGAGAAUGAAUUGGAAAGGAUGAAAGAAAUGGGAGUCAUCAAGAAGGUGGAAAAAGCAACGGAGUGGUCCGGCAUCCUGCGGUACAGUGACACGGCCAGCAGCCCAACCAAGGUCCUACAUUGUAAGCACAUCGACAGGACUAACACGACGCACCGGGAGUCACAUGCAGCCAACGGCGGUCACUAGGAGCGGACGACCAAGCAGACCACCGUACAGGUUGGACUUGUAGCGCGGCUCCCUACUCCUAAGAAAGGGGGGUGUCGUGAGUGGCAUUGCGAGCGACCGCCGACUGCUGUGCCGUGACGCGCCUACGCGCGGAGUACUCUCGCUCCGGGAGGCCAGUGGACGGGGGAGAACGGCACAACCAUGCGAGGACAUGGCUGUGUGUCGCUGACUACACGUAUUGCCUUUAACCCGCAAUAAACUGUUCUUGUUAUACCUGAACAACUGCUACGACAGGCCUGGUGUGUUAAUAUUUCUGUAGUGAGCCGCCACAGACGGUUGCUGCAAAUGACGUAGACGGGCGGGCCAGGUAAGUUAAUGCGUGCCCCAGUGACACACACAACGAAACAUCACAACAUCGUACAGUUAGCGUAACGAUUGUCGAUGGCAUGUCAGUGUCGACCAGGGGCGGAUUUAGAGGGGGGUCCGGAUGUCCUGACCCCCCUCUUGAUUUCUGCUUGUGUAAAUUU
This 1371-nucleotide long non-coding RNA is filed under the name Ixodes scapularis (black-legged tick). RNAcentral's name for it is "uncharacterized LOC115312899, transcript variant X1". Lineage: Eukaryota; Metazoa; Arthropoda; Arachnida; Ixodida; Ixodidae. The record is from RNAcentral.